This is a long non-coding RNA of Etheostoma spectabile (orangethroat darter), 106 nucleotides long. RefSeq lists it as uncharacterized. Lineage: Eukaryota; Metazoa; Chordata; Actinopteri; Perciformes; Percidae. The transcript has 5 exons. The record is from RefSeq and is a predicted model, not a curated record.
CACACACACACACACACCUAGAGAGAGUGUCAGGAUUUAGAGAAAUGGAGGACCCAAAAAUGCAGAGAUGACAGGGCAGUGUUACAACAAAAAGAGUUCUGAAGUA